UGGGGAGUACGGCCGCAAGGUUAAAACUCAAAUGAAUUGACGGGGGCCCGCACAAGCGGUGGAGCAUGUGGUUUAAUUCGAUGCAACGCGAAGAACCUUACCUACUCUUGACAUCCAGAGAACUUUCCAGAGAUGGAUUGGUGCCUUCGGGAACUCUGAGACAGGUGCUGCAUGGCUGUCGUCAGCUCGUGUUGUGAAAUGUUGGGUUAAGUCCCGCAACGAGCGCAACCCUUAUCCUUUGUUGCCAGCGGUUCGGCCGGGAACUCAAAGGAGACUGCCAGUGAUAAACUGGAGGAAGGUGGGGAUGACGUCAAGUCAUCAUGGCCCUUACGAGUAGGGCUACACACGUGCUACAAUGGCGUAUACAAAGAGAAGCGACCUCGCGAGAGCAAGCGGACCUCAUAAAGUACGUCGUAGUCCGGAUUGGAGUCUGCAACUCGACUCCAUGAAGUCGGAAUCGCUAGUAAUCGUAGAUCAGAAUGCUACGGUGAAUACGUUCCCGGGCCUUGUACACACCGCCCGUCACACCAUGGGAGUGGGUUGCAAAAGAAGUAGGUAGCUUAACCUU
This 568-nucleotide ribosomal RNA is filed under the name bacterium. Its description in RNAcentral is "bacterial SSU rRNA". It matches the Rfam family "Bacterial small subunit ribosomal RNA", at positions 874 to 1442 of the family's 1533-position model. The record is from RNAcentral.